UACGGGGGGAGCAAGCGUUGUUCGGAUUUACUGGGCGUAAAGGGUGCGUAGGCGGCGCGGUAAGUCGGGUGUGAAAUUUCGAGGCUUAACUUCGAAACUGCAUUCGAUACUGCCGUGCUAGAGGACUGGAGAGGAGACUGGAAUUUACGGUGUAGCGGUGAAAUGCGUAGAUAUCGUAAGGAAGACCAGUGGCGAAGGCGGGUCUCUGGACAGUUCCUGACGCUGAGGCACGAAGGCCAGGGGAGCAAACGGG
This 253-nucleotide ribosomal RNA is filed under the name uncultured bacterium. RNAcentral describes it as "partial 16S ribosomal RNA". It matches the Rfam family "Bacterial small subunit ribosomal RNA", at positions 524 to 776 of the family's 1533-position model. The record is from RNAcentral.